UCACAUUUAAGUUAAUUUAAACUAAUAGCUUGUGGUGCUAUAAAUGCUUUUUAUGCCAUGUGAA
RNAcentral lists this transfer RNA (64 nucleotides) under Capsala pricei. Its description in RNAcentral is "tRNA-His". The record is from RNAcentral. Lineage: Eukaryota; Metazoa; Platyhelminthes; Monogenea; Capsalidea; Capsalidae.